This 482-nucleotide ribosomal RNA is filed under the name uncultured bacterium. RNAcentral describes it as "partial 16S ribosomal RNA". It matches the Rfam family "Bacterial small subunit ribosomal RNA", at positions 30 to 507 of the family's 1533-position model. The record is from RNAcentral.
AUUGAACGCUGGCGGCAUGCUUUACACAUGCAAGUCGAACGGUAACAGGCCGCAAGGUGCUGACGAGUGGCGAACGGGUGAGUAAUGCAUCGGAACGUGCCCAGUCGUGGGGGAUAACUACUCGAAAGAGUAGCUAAUACCGCAUACGAUCUAUGGAUGAAAGCGGGGGACCGUAAGGCCUCGCGCGAUUGGAGCGGCCGAUGUCAGAUUAGGUAGUUGGUGGGGUAAAGGCUCACCAAGCCAACGAUCUGUAGCUGGUCUGAGAGGACGACCAUCCACACUGGGACUGAGACACGGCCCAGACUCCUACGGGAGGCAGCAGUGGGGAAUUUUGGACAAUGGGCGCAAGCCUGAUCCAGCAAUGCCGCGUGCAGGAAGAAGGCCUUCGGGUUGUAAACUGCUUUUGUACGGAACGAAACGGCUCUGGUUAAUACCCGGGGCUAAUGACGGUACCGUAAGAAUAAGCACCGGCUAACUACGUG